Molecule: non-coding RNA, 72 nt
Organism: Meloidogyne enterolobii
Lineage: Eukaryota; Metazoa; Nematoda; Chromadorea; Rhabditida; Meloidogynidae
Source: the annotation of a GenBank genome assembly
ACGGUUGUGGUGUAGUGGUAUCGUUUCGGACUUUCAAGUCUUAAGUGAAAGGUUCGAUUCCUUAUGGCGGUA